AGGACGAACGCUGGCGGCGUGCUUAACACAUGCAAGUCGAACGAGGCACUUGUGCCUAGUGGCGAACGGGUGAGUAACACGUGGGCAACCUGCCCCUGGCUCUGGGAUAGCCUCCGGAAACGGGGAUUAAUACCGGACAUGACCUGCUCCUGCAUGGGGGCGGGUGGAAAGUUUUUCGGCCAGGGAGGGGCUCGCGGCCUAUCAGCUUGUUGGAGGGGUAACGGCCCACCAAGGCGACGACGGGUAG
Molecule: ribosomal RNA, 247 nt
Filed under: uncultured bacterium
Lineage: Bacteria
Description: partial small subunit ribosomal RNA
Rfam family: Bacterial small subunit ribosomal RNA
Source: RNAcentral